This 668-nucleotide ribosomal RNA is filed under the name Paenibacillus sp. P3735. RNAcentral describes it as "bacterial SSU rRNA". It matches the Rfam family "Bacterial small subunit ribosomal RNA", at positions 86 to 741 of the family's 1533-position model. The record is from RNAcentral. Lineage: Bacteria; Bacillati; Bacillota; Bacilli; Caryophanales; Paenibacillaceae.
UGAUACUUAGCGGCGGACGGGUGAGUAACACGUAGGCAACCUGCCCUCAAGCUUGGGACAACUACCGGAAACGGUAGCUAAUACCGAAUACUUGUUUUCUUCGCCUGAAGGAAACUGGAAAGACGGAGCAAUCUGUCACUUGGGGAUGGGCCUGCGGCGCAUUAGCUAGUUGGUGAGGUAACGGCUCACCAAGGCGACGAUGCGUAGCCGACCUGAGAGGGUGAUCGGCCACACUGGGACUGAGACACGGCCCAGACUCCUACGGGAGGCAGCAGUAGGGAAUCUUCCGCAAUGGGCGAAAGCCUGACGGAGCAAUGCCGCGUGAGUGAUGAAGGUUUUCGGAUCGUAAAGCUCUGUUGCCAGGGAAGAACGCUUGGGAGAGUAACUGCUCCCAAGGUGACGGUACCUGAGAAGAAAGCCCCGGCUAACUACGUGCCAGCAGCCGCGGUAAUACGUAGGGGGCAAGCGUUGUCCGGAAUUAUUGGGCGUAAAGCGCGCGCAGGCGGUCAUGUAAGUCUGGUGUUUAAUCCCGGGGCUCAACCCCGGAUCGCACUGGAAACUGGAUGACUUGAGUGCAGAAGAGGAGAGUGGAAUUCCACGUGUAGCGGUGAAAUGCGUAGAGAUGUGGAGGAACACCAGUGGCGAAGGCGACUCUCUGGGCUGUAACU